AAAACUACACUGCGGUUUAUAUUAAAACCGUUAAUACAUAUUUAAUAUACCAGAUUAUUCUAUUUCAGUAAAGUCGAAAAGGAGAUUUUAUGACGCGACGACAGCGGAGCUAUUGCGAUCACCGUCACUCACUCUCGUCGACGUUUUGGUGGAUGCCAGGUGAUUUCAUAAGCAAGAGAAGUUGAAACAGCGGGCUUUCGUGCAUUACAAAUCAUCGGCUCGGGUUACUUGAAGAAUCAGAGAAGAACCGAAGCAGUAUGUCAUAAGCGCCUCUAUCUCAACAAUCUACCAUGACAUUAUCAUCCAAUAGAGAGAUCGUAAUUAAGGGAACCAAGAGUUACAGAAACUAGUCAACUUCUUUCUUACAUCAGAUUCAUAAACAAUCUAACUGGAUCUACUUGCUUGCCCUUAGCUGGACCAAGUAUCUUGACAAACCACUUCGGCUUGAAUGAAGCAAUAACGUGUGCCAUUACCAAUCCAAGUAACAGUCCAGGCCAAUACCCGAAAAACACUGCUUUCCACUCAAUCACUUCGUCCUCUUCUUCUUCUUCGUCUUCUUCCUUGGGAUAUUUUGUUGGUGGCGCAACGCAACUUCCUUGGAGAGGAAGACCACAGAGACCUACAUUCCCUUCAAAUGAUGAUUCAGCUUGCCCACUAAACUGUGGUCCCUGUGGUAUUUCACCUUUGAGUUGGUUAUGAGCUACACUUAUGUCUAGUGACUCGAGCUCCGUAACAUUUGCCAAAGACAUAGGAAUAUGGCCAGUGAAGGCGUUGUUCGAUAAGUUGAGCGCUAUCAAUUCCUUCAACAGACCAAUAGACUCAGGAAUCUGUCCUUCAAGUUUGUUUCCAGAGAAAUCAAUGGUGCUGUAGAAAUUAACAAAGAAAUUUGGUGGCAAGCUUCCAGUAAAGCUGUUAUCUGACAAUUCAAGUAUCCGCAGCUCGGGAAACGCGAGAGGACCUCGAUCAGGAGGAGAGAGAUGGCCGAAGAAUCUGUUUGAACGGAGAGUCAAGACAUGCAAAUUGGGUAGCGCCUUCAGCCAGAAAGGAAACGUGUCUUCAAUUCUGUUGUUGUCAACACUCAGAAACCUCAGAGAGGAGCAAUUCAAAAGUGAUUUUGGAAGCUUCCCGGUUAGUCGAUUAUAGCCAACGUCAAGCGUCUGUGUCUUAGCACCGCUAUGGAACUCGUCAGGAUAGAUCAAGGACGAUGAGAGAGCUUCGGUUGCAGAUUGAGAGAGGUAUGUUCCCUGUGAAACUAUUGUUCCACGCAGACAAGUAGAUCGAACCGAGUGGUGGAGUAGGAAACGCUCCUGUCAUGGAGUUAUAGGCAAAAUCUAGUAACUGCACUGAUGAGUUAAGUAAAACUUCUGAAGAACCUUCGAAACCAGUCAAAGAAUUGUUAACAAGAUUUGCUAUGCUAAGACGAGGAAGCUUCCAAAACCACUCAGGUACUUUCCCUUUGAUUAGAUUGUUGGAAAUGUCUAUAUGCUCCAAGUUUUGAAGGGUCUUAAAGAUGUUUGGAAACUCGAUAAUGUCGCACUGGAUCAAAAUCAAGCUUAUUAAGCUCAAUGGAAACUCUGAAUCUGAACUUAAACUGGCUGGUAAUAACCUAUUUUGACGAAUAUCAAAGACCAACAAAGAUUUGAGAGGAGCGAAGACGCGUAAGUCAAUUGGGUGACUUAUGUUUAGGGAAGCAAGUUCAAGAUGGUUGAGGUUUAUGAGCUUUGAGAUAGGCUCUAUGAUUUUUCCUUCAAAUUGGUUAAACCCAAGGGACAAACGAACUAGCUUAGAUGAAGAAGAAGAGUUUGGGACAUCAAUAGAACCAGUGAGAUGAUUCUUUUUCAGAUCAAGAUAAGACAAGAAAGGCAAAGUGGGUAGUAAAUCAAAAGGUAUGGCUCCUGAGAAUUGAUUGUAAGAAAGGUCUAAAAAGGAAAGCUUUGUUAGGUUUCUUACAGGUGGGAAACUACCAGUGAGCUCAUUAUGGGAAAGGUUUAAAUGGGUAAGCAAGAUAAGGUUACUAAUUGAGGAAGGAACUUGACCAGUAAAGCUACUAGAGGCAAGAGACAAAACCUCUAAUCUGGUGAGAUUGCUGAAUUCAGAAGGGAGUGAAGAGGAAGUGAAGUUGUUGUGAGAGAGAUUAAGGUAACGAAGCUGAUGCAACUCAAAGAGACUACUGUUUGGUUUGAGAGUUCCAGUGAAGCAACCACUUGGGAGCUGAAGCUUCGUGACCGCACCAGUCGUGUUAUCACACUGGACUCCGUUUAAGUAGUCACUGCGGUUGCAGCCGUCAGAUUCAAACUCAUUCUUGAAUUGGAUUAGAGCUUGGAUCUGGUCAGGAAGACAAGCAAGAGCGUCGGUCGUCAAGAAGCUUGAAACGAAGACGAUACAGUAGAGUAAGAGUAGCGAGCAAAAAUGCAAACGCAUGGUGUUUGUGAUUGAACCAACAAGUUGAGGAAAUUAUUGAACCCAAAAAAAGACAUAUCAAAGAUUUGCUAUAUAUAUGUUAUUUUAAGCCGCCUUUACUAAAUAUGUGGGGUUUAAAUGUCACGUGAAAUGUCUACGAGUCACAUUUGUUCAUGAAGUAAAUUCCACGUGGACAUCUCUG
Molecule: long non-coding RNA, 2602 nt
Filed under: Arabidopsis thaliana (thale cress)
Lineage: Eukaryota; Viridiplantae; Streptophyta; Magnoliopsida; Brassicales; Brassicaceae
Description: potential natural antisense gene, locus overlaps with AT2G33050 (AT2G33051)
Source: RNAcentral